CCUACGGGAGGCAGCAGUGAGGAAUAUUGGUCAAUGGGCGGGAGCCUGAACCAGCCAAGUCGCGUGAGGGAAGACGGUCCUAUGGAUUGUAAACCUCUUUAGUCGGGGAGCAAUGCCGGGCACGUGUGCCCGGAGGGAGAGUACCCGCAGAAUAAGCCUCGGCUAACUCCGUGCCAGCAGCCGCGGUAAUACGGAGGAUGCGAGCGUUAUCCGAUUUUAUUGGGUUUAAAGGGUGCGUAGGCGGAUUUUUAAGUCAGCGGUAAAAUGUCCGGGCUCAACCCGGGCCGGCCGUUGAAACUGGGGAGCUUGAGUGGGCGAGAAGUAGGCGGAAUGCGUGGUGUAGCGGUGAAAUGCAUAGAUAUCACGCAGAACUCCGAUUGCGAAGGCAGCAUACCGGAGCCCGACUGACGCUGAGGCACGAAGGCGUGGGGAUCGAACAGGAUUAGAUACCCUGGUAGUC
Molecule: ribosomal RNA, 460 nt
Filed under: uncultured bacterium
Lineage: Bacteria
Description: partial 16S ribosomal RNA
Rfam family: Bacterial small subunit ribosomal RNA
Source: RNAcentral